CCUACGGGUGGCAGCAGUGAGGAAUAUUGGUCAAUGGACGAGAGUCUGAACCAGCCAAGUAGCGUGAAGGAUGACUGCCCUAUGGGUUGUAAACUUCUUUUAUAAAGGAAUAAAACGAGGCACGUGUGCCUUUUUGCAUGUACUUUAUGAAUAAGGAUCGGCUAACUCCGUGCCAGCAGCCGCGGUAAUACGGAGGAUCCGAGCGUUAUCCGGAUUUAUUGGGUUUAAAGGGAGCGUAGAUGGGUUGUUAAGUCAGUUGUGAAAGUUUGCGGCUCAACCGUAAAAUUGCAAUUGAUACUGGCAGUCGUGAGUACAGUUGAGGUGGGCGGAAUUCGUGGUGUAGCGGUGAAAUGGUUAGAUAUCACGAAGAACCCCGAUUGCGAAGGCAGCUUACUAAACUGUGACUGACAUUGAUGCUCGAAAGUGUGGGUAUCAAACAGGAUUAGAUACCCGAGUAGUC
This 460-nucleotide ribosomal RNA is filed under the name uncultured bacterium. RNAcentral describes it as "partial 16S ribosomal RNA". It matches the Rfam family "Bacterial small subunit ribosomal RNA", at positions 338 to 795 of the family's 1533-position model. The record is from RNAcentral.